RNAcentral lists this long non-coding RNA (298 nucleotides) under Homo sapiens (human). RNAcentral describes it as "HSALNT0275267". Lineage: Eukaryota; Metazoa; Chordata; Mammalia; Primates; Hominidae. The record is from RNAcentral.
GACAAGUUAAUGUACUUUGUAACCUGUUCCCUGAUAAAGUUAAGGAACAUUUGCAUCUCUCCUGAAAGUUUGGGUUAUGGGUAUGUUGGGAAGGUAGGGUCAAAUAUGGGGUAUGAGAUAAGAUAGAACAGGCGUGAGCCACUGCGCCCAGCCUGCUGUGCAUUUUUCACUUAAAUAGUAUUGUAGGUUUGUUGUCUUCUUAAUUGUGGUUAUUGUUGAGCUAGCAGAUUUUUCCCACUAUGGAAAUGUAGCUUUUAAUUUUCUAAUGGAAGUAGGUGGAAGGGACUAGAUUUAUAGG